UUUAUCAUAACCAGUGUUAAGUGAUUGGUUUUUUUAAGCCAGCUCAAAAGAAUUGAUUAUUUUCGAAGAGCCGCUCUAUCACAUAUAAUGUCGGGUCAUCUAAUUGACCGACUCUUAGAUUUUUUUCAACUUGUGCUUUGUAGUAAACUACAACACUUAUGGAUUUUUCAAACAUAUAGUUGUCGGGUUAAAUUGGAACCAUGGUCAAGGAUUUCUUUCAUCACAAAGGCAUCAUCAGUUCACAGAAUGGAUAUGAUUUUAUUCUACAAUGGAAGGAAUAGUCCUGAGUCGCUGCACGCACACGACCUGACACUUGGGGGCUACAUUAUUCAAAUCAAGAUUACUUCAAAGUAUGGAAGUCCCAUAUCGGUGCAAACAUGCACCAUGACACUUGGGGGCUAAUGCAAACUGCUCUUUCAAAUCAUCACAUCAUCAA
This 436-nucleotide long non-coding RNA is filed under the name Hordeum vulgare. Its description in RNAcentral is "long non-coding RNA (HVUL_LNC001256)". Lineage: Eukaryota; Viridiplantae; Streptophyta; Magnoliopsida; Poales; Poaceae. The record is from RNAcentral.